RNAcentral lists this ribosomal RNA (742 nucleotides) under uncultured bacterium. RNAcentral describes it as "bacterial SSU rRNA". It matches the Rfam family "Bacterial small subunit ribosomal RNA", at positions 8 to 796 of the family's 1533-position model. The record is from RNAcentral.
AGAGUUUGAUCCUGGCUCAGGAUGAACGCUGGCGGUAUGCUUAACACAUGCAAGUCGAACGGACUCUUCGGAGUUAGUGGCGGACGGGUGAGUAACGCGUGAGAAUCUGGCUUCAGGUUCGGGACAACAGUUGGAAACGGCUGCUAAUACCGGAUGUGCCUUAUGGUGAAAGAUUUAUCACCUGAAGAUGAGCUCGCGUCUGAUUAGCUAGUUGGUGUGGUAAGAGCGCACCAAGGCAACGAUCAGUAGCUGGUCUGAGAGGACGACCAGCCACACUGGGACUGAGACACGGCCCAGACUCCUACGGGAGGCAGCAGUGAGGAAUCUUCCGCAAUGGGCGAAAGCCUGACGGAGCAAUACCGCGUGAGGGAGGAAGGUUCUUGGAUUGUAAACCUCUUUUCUCAGAGAAGAAUAAUGACGGUAUCUGAGGAAUAAGCAUCGGCUAACUCCGUGCCAGCAGCCGCGGUAAUACGGAGGAUGCAAGCGUUAUCCGGAAUGAUUGGGCGUAAAGGGUCUGUAGGUGGUUGUUCAAGUCUGCUGUUAAAGCGUCUGGCUUAACCAGAUAAAGGCGGUGGAAACUGAACGACUAGAGUGCGGUAGGGGUAGAGGGAAUUCCCAGUGUAGCGGUGAAAUGCGUAGAUCUUGGGAAGAACACCUGUGGCGAAAGCGCUCUACUGGACCGCGACUGACACUGAUGGACGAAAGCUAGGGGAGCGAAUGGGAUUAGAUACCCUAGUAGUCC